This 6674-nucleotide long non-coding RNA is filed under the name Arabidopsis lyrata. RNAcentral describes it as "long non-coding RNA (ALYR_LNC002833)". The stretch from base 1708 to 1781 matches the Rfam family "tRNA". Lineage: Eukaryota; Viridiplantae; Streptophyta; Magnoliopsida; Brassicales; Brassicaceae. The record is from RNAcentral.
AAUACAGUACUAAUUCACCUUUUGUAGGAGCUAUUCCACUCGACAAACAAAUGACUCCAAGAACCUCUCUUACACUCUUGAUCCUUGCUCUCAACCUCCUCUUCUUCACUUACACAUCUGCCGCAUUAUUGCCACCGAUCCCGGGCAUCACGGUCCUCCCGGGCAUCACGGUCAUCCCGGGCAUCACCGUCCCGGGCAUCACGGUCCCGGGCAUCCCGGCCACGCCAAACACCCCAGCCACGCCAAACACCCCGACCAAGCCAAACACCCCGACCAAGCCAAACACCCCGACCAAGCCAACGAUCCCGACCACGCCAGCCACCCCAGCCACCCCAGCAACGCCAGCCACCCCUGCCACUCCAGCCACCCCAGCAACGCCAAACACCCCAACGUCUCCGACACUCCGCACACCUCCAGGCACAGGUUCUUUAUCCUAGAGAUGCUCUAAAGAACGGUGUUUAAGCUAUUGGACCUAAGAUUGGAAUCUCACCUGAGCCAUGUUGCUCAUCUAAGGCUUUUUGUUGUUUAUAUUUGGUUUUUAUGUGUGCAACUUAUGCAUUUGCUGAGUAUCUUGAAUUUCUAAAGUUUGUUUGUUUUAAGAAAAUAUGUCGCACAUAAUUUAGACAGCAUAUAAAAUAUUUUCUAACUUUUAUCAUUUUUCAAAUACACAGGUUUACUUUUUCUCUACGUAAUUAGACUUUAUUUUAUGAGGAUAAACUAUGACUUUUUGUUAAAGUUUUGCAUUGAAACAACACUUUUUUUUUGAAAAGAAAACAAAGAUCUAAAACAACACUUAAUUUUAAAAGAAAUAAUGUAUUUUGUAAAGGAUUUUUUUUUUUUUUGUAUAUAAAAAAUUAAUAUUUCAUCCCAACCGGAUUUUAGGCCAUGGACUUGGGAAAUGGGGUUUACAUCUAAUUUACAAUUUCAAAAAAAGAAGGAAACCGAUGACUCGAAAUUGGACAUUGAUGGUGUUCGGAAACAAGGAAACACAUCCACUACUACCGGCGAUUACAAGAAACACUGCUUUGCGGCUACAUCAACGAUAUCGAAUCCAGGUAAUAAGUUCAUGUCGCAAAGCCGAUCCGGACGACAAGCCUCAACCCGCAACAUUUAUCCCGAAAUAGAUCGGUUCUCAGAAAAUCUGAGACCUAAUCUAUCUAAUCCCCUACCUAGCAAAAAGGGAGAACUCAGAUCGAUCUAACACUUAGCCUCCGGUACCAACAAGCAUCAGACAUAAAAAAAGGGACCUUUCAGCUUCAUAUGUCAAGGUUCCAGAUCGCUAUGUUGACGCUAUCUUCUAACCACCACGUUAUAUAUCCUUCUUGUUGCACUUGCACCACAAAACCUCUAUAUUUCAUUUUCAGAUCUCUUUUUCUAUGUAUACGUAAACAUAUCUAUAUAGUAUAUAUACGUUAUUGGAAUUCUUUGCUAAGAACUUGAAAUGAAGCAAACAGUCUUAUUAGGUAACACAAAAAAAAAAGAAGUUUUUUUCAGAUUUCUCAAUGUUCUUUUACCAAAAUAUGUUAUUGUUCUUUUUUUCCGCCAAAUAUGGUAUUGUUCAUAUUCAAGGUCCGUGAGCUUUGCUUCAGAGUAGUAGGCUUUGGAUACUUUUGAUAAAACCCCAUAUUGUAUGUCAAGGCCCAUUAAGAUGCGGAUCCAAGCCUUGACGUUUAAACAAAUAUAAGUCUUCUCGUAGGUAACAUCAAAGGCCUAUUAGCUCAGUUGGUUAGAGCGUCGUGCUAAUAACGCAAAGGUCACAGGUUCGAUCCCUGUAUAGGCCAUUACUUUUUAUAUUUUUAGUCAUCGUCGUUCCAACUUCCCCAACCAUCAUCAAUAUUUGAUUUUCAUUCCACUCAGGUGGUCACUUCACCAGUAGAGUUUUUGUGUGAAUUGAUAACAAAAAUGUUUGUAAGCUUAAAUUUUUCCUGUGCAUAGUAAAACAAAAAAACCAAGCACUGUAAUCUCUUCUUGGAGAUUUUUUUAGCCACCAACACUGUUCAUUCGUCUAACUUAACUUUUUUUUUUUUUUUUGAUAAACCCUAUCGGCUGAUCCGGUCGGCCUCGGUAGGAACACACCGAGGUGCUACAGAGUGGACUUCUUCCGAUCCAGGUAGAAUUGGGUCACCACACUGGCUGAUCCGAGUUUGGAAUGCCUUCCGACUAAUGCCAGGGGUAGUCAGGCCGCCUGCAUUUCUGACUACCAGGUAAACCAAUUGGGCCAAGGUCCAACUGAGUAACUGACAGACUUCCCAAACAAAUGUGUUUUUGUUUCCAGGGAGAAUCGAACUCGGGUCUGGGAGUUUCACCCAAAUUCACUUCCACACAAUACAAAUUUGUAACAAAGGUUAAUGAAUUCUUGUGAUUUAUCAACAAACAAAAAUAACCAAAAUGUGACAUAUGAGAGACUAAGUUGUUGUAGACUAAUGGUUAUCACUUAAAAUGUAAAAAAAUUUCGUAGGUCUAGAUCAAGAAUCGAUUACUCUCAAAUAUUUUAAGAAAAAUCUGCACUUUGUAGUACAUUGGUUACCCUUAGAUAUUUUAAAUAUUUUUAAAAGCUAUGAUUUUUAUGGGUUCUGGAAAUUAAUUUUGAUUUUAAUUUAGUAUUUCUCUGUUUGAAAAAGAAAAGCAACUAAAUAAAAUAGAAAACAUGUAGAAAAAAUCAUGAUAUUUUUGCCUGUCCAAUUGUGAAAGUAGAUGGUUGGAUCUUUGUGUUUGGCAAAAUGGCAAUAGAAACGUAGAUCUAUAUUAUGACAAAACAAAAAAAAAAUCGAAGAGGCAAAAGCGCCAAUCUGUUAACUGAUUCAAAGCCACUCCUUCCAUAUCUUUGUUCAUAAACAAACGCUUAUCUUCUUAUCAUCUUCAAAAGUUUUCUCUUUUGCCUCUCAACAUUACAUGCCCUACAACAUAAAUGCGAGGACGUCGGUUAUAAACGGACACUAACAAAAUUAUGUCGUUUAUUCAACCGACUUGCUAAGGGCCAACGUAAGUUAUAUAGCCUGGAUUACGGAUUACCUACCAUGAAAUAUCUCAAUAAUAAGUCUUAUUCUAUGUUCCAUAAUCAUAAGAUUAUAAUUUCAUUCAAAUAUACUUCUUUGAAAUAAUACUGAUAUUUAAUAAAUAGUAUUGGGUUUCUUCAAAUUAUGCAUGCUUCGGAUAUUUGAUUAACUUUGUUUCACGAACUCUAAAGCCCUAAAUUAAUAUGAAUAAUUUUAAAAAUAAGUUUAUCAAAGAUAUAGCUUUAUUGCUGGCAACAAAAAAGGUAUAGCUAUAUUGCAAGAUCUUAUACUAUUAUUUGGGGAGUACACUUUAUAAGAUACCCUUAACUAACCUUUCCUUUUGUAAGAAUUUACUUAAGAAUGCCAUUACAAAAAUCUUCUUUUAGAACAAAUUUCAUUCAAUUUAUUAAGAAUAAACAAGUAAAGUACUAGUUUAUGUCAUUUAAUUAAUUUGACUAAAUUAUAAAACGAAAAUUUGUUAUUAUUUUUUUUAAAUGACCAAUCAAAAUGAACAUAUAAGAUUUGAUAUCUAACUUAUCAUAUUAAUUUGUUAUUAAUCAUUAAACUUCACCUCUCAUCUUAAUAUGAUUAUAUUAAUAUGAAAAAAACUAAAUCAUCAUAUCAUCUACAUAAUAAAAAAAAAGUAAUUUUUUUUUCUGCAUAUGCCAAGAUUUGAAUUUUUAAAAACGCAUAUAAAUUGUUCAAUCUAUAAAGGAAACAAUUAAACGGGUCAAAAAUUCAGACUUGAGUAGUAUAUUUCUUUUACACAAAAAUAAAGUCAACAAAAAUUCCGACUGAGCAACAGGUCAGAAUUUGAAUAUUUAGAUUCGAUUUCAUACAUUUAUUUUUUUGAAAUGCAUAAUUUUAUAUACUACAAUAAAAAUUUAAAUAUUUUAAUUUGCAACAAUUAAAAUAAGUUUUACUUGAUAUUUUUAGAGAAUAUCAUCAAUACUUAAUAGUUCAAAAAGUUAAAAAUUAUAAAUACUCUAAUUUGAUUAUUUUUAAAAAUAUUUAUAAUAGUUAGCGGGUUAAAUAUAAUAUAUUAUACGAUGAAAUGAGUUUUGAUCCAUAUAACUAUUUGAAUAGUUAUAUUUAAUUUCAUACAAUUUGUUUUUUGAAAUUCAUAAUUUUAUAAACUACAAAAAAAAUUUAAAGGUUUUAAUUUGGAAUAUUUAAAAAUAGUGUAGAACAUUUAAAUAUGGUUUGACACCUCUAAAUAUUUGAAAAUUUGAUUCUGCAAGCAAUUUUAGAAUUAACGAAUAAUAGAUUGUGCACGCAAUAUUUUAAAAUGAAAUAUUGAGAUUCUAAAAUAAAAAUAUAGACUCCACGCACGGGUUGAUUUUUGUAUUAUUAUAUACUAAAUAUAUGUUUUUAACAUAUUUGAUUAUGCGAAUAAUUGGUAAAUUCCGUAAUUAUAAAUCUCAAACAAAUUCUGUAAUUAGAUUAGCUCAAACAAAUCUCUAUUUCAACAACCAAAGAAUCAUAAAUUGAAAAAGAAUUUUCUAAAUUAAUUCAAAAUAAUUGCUAAUUUUCUUAAUUAAUUCAAAAUAAUCUAUGUUUUAUAUGGGAUUCAUUUAUGAUAUUUUAAUUUUUGAUCUAACUGAAAUAUAUGCAAUCCUAUUUUGUGGUUGUUAACAUAAAUUAACUCAUUGUUCAAAAAAUAUUACUUUUCAAGAAAUAAAAUUAUUUUCUGUUUUCAUAUCUUAAAAAAAUUUAUCUAUAAUUGAGUAUUAUAAAAAAAGUUCUAUAUUUAUUCUAAUAUUGUAUACAGGGACUGACAAAAAAAUUAAUAUUUUUUCACUUACUAUUAUAAUAUAUUAAAACUUAGUUCUAAUAUAUGUAUUAUAUAAAUUUUGUAAUAAAUAAAAUUCAACCCGUACUUUAGUACGGAUGAUGAUCUAGUUAAAUAUAUAUAAGGAUAUCUCUAUAUUAUAUUCGUUAAUUGUGAUUUGUCUGGUUUAGUUUUCAACGAACAAAUAGUUAAAUAAUACUUUCUUUGUUUCUAAAUAUAAAAUUUUAGAGUUUUUAUUCUGUUUUAAAAUAUAAAAUUUAUUCACGUUUCUAUGCAUAUAUUUAUUUUCAUACUGUUAAAAGUAUCUAGUCAAAAAAAGCCAAAGAUCAAUCACAACUCGUAUUGAUGGCUUCCGAAAUUUUAAUGUGACUAUUAGUAUUCUUUCUCUACGAAUGAUUUUUGUUUAUCAAAUGAUGUUUUUGUUUAAGAAAUAAUUCUUUUUUAAUUUGUGUGUUUUAACCAAAAUAUCAUAUAUUUUAUUUUGAUAUUCAUCGUAACUUUCCAAAUUCAUAUCUCAAUGAAAAAUUAAAAGUUUUUAAAUACGGAAAACACAACUUACAAUCUAUGAAAGUUAUUUUAUCGACAAUCGUAGUACAUAUUAUAUAUAGUUUUAGGAAUUGAAAUAUCAUCAUUCUUCUAAUGAGAACCCUAUAAAUACCCACUAAACACUUGAAGAAAACUAAAUACAGUACUAAUUCACCUAUUGUUGGAGCUAUUCCACUCGACAAACAAAUGACUCCAAGAACCUCUCUUACACUCUUCCUUGCUCUCAACCUCCUCUUCUUCACUUACACAUCUGCCGCAUUAUUGCCACCGAUCCCGGGCAUCUCGGGCAUCCCGGGCAUCCCGGACAUCCCGGGCAUCCCGAACAUCCCGGGCAUCCCGGACAUCCCUGGCAUCCCGGACAUCCCGGGCAUCCCAGCCACGCCAAACACCCCAGCCAACCCAGCCACGCCAAACACCCCAGCCAACCCAGCCACGCCAAACACCCCAGCCAACCCAGCCACGCCAAACACCCCAGCCAACCCAGCCACGCCAAACACCCCAGCCAACCCAGCCACACCAAACACCCCAGCCAACCCAGCCACACCAAAAACCCCGGCCACGCCAAACACCCCGACCACGCCAACGACCCCUGCCACUCCAGCCACCCCAGCAACGCCAAACACACCAGCAACACCGACCACCCCAACGUCUCCGACACCCCGCACACCUCCAGGCACAGGUUCUUUAUCCUAGAGAUGCUCUAAAGAACGGUGUUUAAACUAGUGGACCUAGAUUGGAAUCUCACCUAAGCCAUGUUGCUCAUCUAAGGCUUGUUGACCUUGAGUCUUCAUUAUUCCUCUAUCUCUUCUUUGUAAUUGUGUCUUUUCAAUUUGAAUAAUAAAAUUAUAUCAACCGACCCAUGUUAUUGUUUAUAUUUGGUUAAUAUGUGUGCAACUUAUGCAUUUGCUGAGUAUCUUGAAUUUCCAAAGUUUGUUUUGUUUUAAGAAAUUAUGUCGCACAUAAUUUAGACAACAUUAAAAUAUUUUCUAUCUUUUAUCAUUUUUCAAAGACACUGUGUUAACUUUUUCUAUAGCAGUGCGAGUAGUUGAGCCACGAUAAAUCUCCAACACGAUACCACUGGCGUCCUCGCCACGAGGUAAAACGUCGGGAGGCUUCUCUAGAUAGUCUAGACUGCCGAGAUGUUUGGGUUAAAUGCAUCAUGAAGCGGAUAAUCCACGCCUCAUCACUGCCGGAGAAGAAAGCCUUCUCACCAACGCUUCACCAAAAAAAUCCACACCUUCAAUGAGGAUCUAAAAGCAACAAAAAAAACCCGGAAGUAAAUCUUUUUUUUUCCAAAGAUCCAAAGAGAGAAAAGAGAGAAGCGAUAGAACGAUUGUCCU